CCUACGGGUGGCAGCAGUGAGGAAUAUUGGUCAAUGGGCGAGAGCCUGAACCAGCCAAGUCGCGUGAAUGAUGACGGCCCUACGGGUUGUAAGCUUCUUUUGUCAGGGAGAAAUUUGGUCCACGCGUGGGCUUAGCGAGAGUACCUGAAUUAAAAGCAUCGGCUAACUCCGUGCCAGUAGCCGCGGUAAUACGGAGGAUGCGAGCGUUAUCCGGAUUUAUUGGGUUUAAAGGGUGCGUAGGCGGAAUAUCAAGUCAGUGGUAAAAAUUCGGGGCUCAACCCAGUCGUGCCGUUGAAACUGAUGUUCUUGAGUGGGCGAGAGGUAUGUGGAAUGCGUGGUGUAGCGGUGAAAUGCAUAGAUAUCACGAAGAACUCCGAUUGCGAAGGCAGCAUACCGGCGCCCAACUGACGCUGAAGCACGAAAGCGUGGGUAUCGAACAGGAUUAGAUACCCUUGUAGUC
Molecule: ribosomal RNA, 460 nt
Filed under: uncultured bacterium
Lineage: Bacteria
Description: partial 16S ribosomal RNA
Rfam family: Bacterial small subunit ribosomal RNA
Source: RNAcentral